UGGUUCAUGCAAAAAUGUCUGGGAUAUUAGGACACUGUUCUAAUCUUCAUCUGAGAACAUGACCAAAAUGAAGUGGUUUGUCAGCUUAAUAUCUAAGCCAUCUCUCCUCUCCUUCCUAGAAUUCAGAAUUCCGGGAGUUUCUUCUCACCAAACUGAUCAAUGCAGAAAAUGCCUGCUGCAAGUCAGACAAGUUUGCUAAGCUGGAGGAUCGGACACGAGCUGCUCUGCUGGACAACCUCCACGAUGAACUUCAUGUCCAUACGCAAUUGAUGCUAGGCCUGGGAUUUGAGGAGGACAAGCUGGAAAAUGGAGGCCAUGGGGGAUUCUUGGAAUCAUUUAAGGACAUCCCAGGGCUUGCGAGGAAAACAACUGUCAGAAUAAUUUUGCAGCUGCCUUUUUACUUCUGGACAGCCCUGCUGGUCUGCUUGAUAGCUUAUUUGUUUCUCAGCGUGCUUCCCGUGUAAAUAUAUAAUGGGACAAGAAAUGGGAAAACAGAGGGGCCUUUUUUCUUCAGGAUUUGACAGGAAGUCACAGACACUCAUUUUCACUUGGUUGCUUCUUUUCGCAGACUGCAAAACACCCUCAUACACACACACACACACACACACAAAACACAUAUCAGGUUUCUGUAGAAUUAGACCUGAAGUCAGAUAGAGGAAACUAAUCUGAAGAAGAGCAAUCCUUAAUACAAGACAGCAAAAACUUUAAUACCAUAAAGGCACCAGGUCUCAUUUGAUCUUGGAGCUAAGCAGGGUCAGCUCUGAUUAGCACUUAGAUGGGAGACUGCCAUUGCAGACCAAUGCCGUAGGUUAUAUUUCAGAGAAGGGAGCUGGAAAAACCAGCUGCAAGUAUUCCUUGACUAUGAAGUAUAACACACGGAGCUUUUUGCAGGUCAGACCUGGGGUGACUCCUGGUUCAGCUAUGCGAAUUCACGUCGUAACGUGAAUGUUUUAUGACACCUGGUUGCUCUCCCGUUGCCCUUCCGAAUCGAGGGGGAAUUGAAUCCAAGGCAA
This is a long non-coding RNA of Sceloporus undulatus (fence lizard), 1013 nucleotides long. RefSeq lists it as uncharacterized. Lineage: Eukaryota; Metazoa; Chordata; Lepidosauria; Squamata; Phrynosomatidae. The record is from RefSeq and is a predicted model, not a curated record. The transcript is spliced from 3 exons.